UCCGGCAUAGCUCAGUUGGUAGAGCACCUGACUGUUAAUCAGGUUGUCGACGGUUCGAGCCCGCCUGCCGGAGUCA
This 76-nucleotide transfer RNA is filed under the name Secundilactobacillus collinoides. Its description in RNAcentral is "Lactobacillus collinoides tRNA-Asn". It matches the Rfam family "tRNA". Rfam says of the family: Transfer RNA (tRNA) molecules are approximately 80 nucleotides in length. Their secondary structure includes four short double-helical elements and three loops (D, anti-codon, and T loops). Lineage: Bacteria; Bacillati; Bacillota; Bacilli; Lactobacillales; Lactobacillaceae. RNAcentral also lists the same sequence under 1 other name. The record is from RNAcentral.